This 2630-nucleotide long non-coding RNA is filed under the name Hordeum vulgare. RNAcentral's name for it is "long non-coding RNA (HVUL_LNC011240)". The record is from RNAcentral. Lineage: Eukaryota; Viridiplantae; Streptophyta; Magnoliopsida; Poales; Poaceae.
GGAGGCGCAGCAACGCGCUCGCCAAAGCAUCAAGCGGUCCAAGCAGAGGAAGAUCCCAAAGGCGGAGGCUGAGGAGAGGAAGAUGCGUUCCAAGGCAGGCGCCAGGAAGAAGAAGGGCAACAAGUCGUCCAGGGGCAAGCUCUCCAACGCGUCAAGGUAUCCCUAGCCUAGCCUAGCGGACUCGGAAUCAAAACUUUGAGCCCAUGAAAAUUUUGACCUCCGGGCUGCUUGUUAGCCCACCAUAACUUCACUAUUGAUGAUGCACUCUUUGGCCUGUCAUCAAUUUUACCUGCAAUUUCCUGCACUUUGUUCGCUGUCUGUCAAGAAAAAUGGCUGGAUUUCCUUUUAGUAGCUGUUCCCGGUGAUGGAAUUUUUAUUGGUGCUACUGCAGAGUCUUAACUGUUUACGCGCACUUAAUUCCCUGCAUUUCUGCUGUGAUUGCCGACACGGAAUGGAAUGGAGUGAAAUGACAUUUGUACAACUACCCGCGGUACUCUUGAUUGUUUGUGCUUGCUUAUUCGUACAUUCACUGUAAACAAUCAUGCCAGCAUCAAUUACUGCAUACACACAACUGUUUCUCUAUGAUUUCUUGCAAUGAGAAACAUAUUCACAUGUCAAAUUUAUCAAUCAUCACAAUUUUGCUUUUACGUAUACAUCUAUCACCCUAAUGACUUGCUACUUGUGAGCUACAGCUUUAUUUUUCCCAAAUUAACAUCGCUGUCUCAAAACAUGUCGCUCUCUUGCUCUAAGCUGUGGCCGCCCACUUCACUUACAAUUUCCAGGUUUUUAAACAGUGACUAGAGACAUAACUUUGCUUAAAUCUACCAGCUUACCCACAUGGUAAAUAACUACAGUCAUGCUCUAUGGUCUUAAAUCUACAGAAAAACUUACCUUACACCCACAGGAAAUAAGAUUAUAGUAGCUGCAGUGAUUCUAUGGAAAUUCUUGUGCUUAUUCAUGUGAUCCAGUGGAUAUGAUAUGAUAUGAUAUGAUAAAUAAAAUUGCAUGUCAUGAUCACAUAAACCUACCAGAAAAUUCAUGUGUAGUUUCAACAACCCAAAAUGAUUUAGGGAACCAUUUCAAUGUACCUUUCUAAAAUUCACCAAGAAAAAUAGAUUUGCUUAAACAUUUUCAGGUGUCAAAUUUAUCAAUCAUCACAAAUUUGUUUUUAGGUAUAGAUAUCUAUGACCCUAAUGACUUGCUACUUGCGAACUAGAACCUUUUUUUCGCAAAUUAACAUCACUGUCUCAAAACAUGUCGCUCUCUUGCAUGCUGGUGAGCUCUUCAACAUGUCAGGAAAAUUCUGAAUGUCUAGCCUACAAAUAUAUUCACCAGGUAGCAUUCUCUAGUGUCAUAAAACCGCACUGGGAAGAUAGUAGCACACUAGUAUCUCAUGAUUCAUAAUUAAACUUGUGGCAUUAUGCCAGUGAGUACUUUGACAUGUCGAAAAAUUCUGUUUCUGUCUAGCAUGCAAUAGGAUUCACCAUACUUAUUCACUAGUCAUAUAUUUAUACUGAAUAGAUAUUUGCAUAAUUGAAAUUUUCUAGCUUGGAAGGUUAUUCACCAAGUGACAAUCACUAGGGUCAGUGUUCAGAAAGCGUUGGCAAUAAUGGCCAUAUGCUUUGGCCGUAAGCGGCAGAUUAUGCAUUUUCCAAUAAAAAGAUGGGCCAUAAUUUAGCUGUUUUUGAAGUAAAAUGUUUGGCUGAUGGCCAUAAGCGAUCUAUGUUAUUACGAAGGCCUGUUUGGGAACUAUUUGCUUUGGAUUUUGGCCACAUCAUCUCCAUUAGGCCAUGUCUACUUGAACGGGACUGCAUUUUAGUUUUUACUUCGCUUGCUGCGUGAACCUGGUGUUUAUAUGCUAUGGUGUUAACCUGCAUUUUCGAUGCUAUUUGCUAUGUUUCCUAUUCUCCUGUGCAUGUUUUUCAAAAAACAGCCAAAUUCUGGCCAUUUUUUUCGAACACUUAAGCGUUCAUUGCUCUAAGCUGUUGCCGCCCAUUUCGCUUAUACUUUCCAGGUUUUUUAACAGUGACUAGAGACAUAACUUUGCUGAAAUCUACCAGCUUAACCACAUGGUAAAUAAAGCCAAUAGUAAUAAUGUGGCUCUAAGCUUAAUCUCCUGCAAUGUUUCGUAUUGAUUGUUAGAUGGCAUCCAAAUAGGUAAUAAUGUGCCUCUAAGCUUAAUCUUCAGCAAUGUUUGUAUUGAUUGUUAGCUGGCAUCCAAAUUCAAAAAGCUUUCUCAAAAUCUAUUUCCCACCCGCUCUAUUAAAUAGAACCAUAGGAACCAAUAGAUAUAGCUCUGAUUUUCUGGGAGCUAGCUUCCAUUGUAUAUUCCUCGAGUUUUCUCUAUGCAUCUACCUCUCUUAAGUUUAUUUUACGGUUACAACUUAGGUACAAAACUACCCAAUCUUAGCAAUGUACACUCAAAGGGUGCUUGGAUCCAAGGGACUAAAACUAGUCUGACUAAAACUAGUCUCUUUAAGAGGCUAAAGUUCCAAGCACCCAUGACUAAAGAGAGGCUAAAACUAGUCUUGAGGCUAAAAUAUUUUAGUCAGGGGUACCCCUACUAAAAUGUGCAUUAGUCCUCUCUCUCCUCAUUUAAUUUCGCAGGCAAGUUUUGGAUUGGAGGGUNN